AGCUCUUAUCUUUCUCCACGCAGCGUGGUUCUUCCGAGACCACUUCUUAAUCGGACGUCUUCGACUUACUUAUCUCUCCCCGAUAGCUCUCUCGCAUGAUCAUCUGGAAAUUAGAAGUCAUGCGGUUGGUCCUGGCAUGGAUCGCCUUCUGUGCUAUCACUCCUCUGUGCAUGGGGCAAUCACCGACAGUGACAGAUAUUGAUGAAUGUGCCACUGGAAGCCAUGUUUGCCAUGCCAACAGUACAUGUCAGAACACAAUUGGCUCAUACAAUUGCUCUUGUCAUUCUGGAUUCACUGGCAAUGGAAAAAACU
Molecule: long non-coding RNA, 312 nt
Organism: Sycon ciliatum
Lineage: Eukaryota; Metazoa; Porifera; Calcarea; Leucosolenida; Sycettidae
Exons: 3
Source: RefSeq, a predicted model, not a curated record